CCUGACUGCUAUCGGAUUGAUACUAAGCCAUGCGAGUCAUUGUAGUAAUACAAGGCAGACGGCUCAGUAACGCGUAGUCAACCUACCCUAUGGACGGGGAUAACCUCGGGAAACUGAGAAUAAUACCCGAUAGAACAUUAUACCUGGAAUGGUUUAUGUUUCAAAUAAUUUAUUGCCGUAGGAUGGGACUGCGGCCUAUCAGUUUGUUGGUGAGGUAAUGGCCCACCAAGACUAUUACAGGUACGGGCUCUGAGAGGAGUAGCCCGGAGAUGGGUACUGAGACACGGACCCAGGCCCUAUGGGGCGCAGCAGGCGAGAAAACUUUGCAAUGUGCGAAAGCACGACAAGGUUAAUCCGAGUGGUUUCUGCUAAAGGAACCUUUUGUCAGUCCUAGAAACACUGGUGAAUAAGGGGUGGGCAAGUUCUGGUGUCAGCCGCCGCGGUAAAACCAGCACCUCAAGUGGUCAGGAUGAUUAUUGGGCCUAAAGCAUCCGUAGCCUGCUUUGUUAGUUUUCGGUUAAAUCCAUACGCUUAACGUAUGGGCUGCCGGGAAUACUGCAAAGCUAGGGAGUGGGAGAGGUAGACGGUACUCGGUAGGAAGGGGUAAAAUCCUUUGAUCUAUUGAUGACCACCUGUGGCGAAGGCGGUCUACCAGAACACGUCCGACGGUGAGGGAUGAAAGCUGGGGGAGCAAACCGGAUUAGAUACCCGGGUAGCCCCAGCUGUAAACUAUGCAAACUCGGUGAUGCAUUGGCUUGAUGCCAAUGCAGUGCCGCAGGGAAGCCGUUAAGUUUGCCGCCUGGGAAGUACGUACGCAAGUAUGAAACUUAAAGGAAUUGGCGGGGGAGCACCACAAGGGGUGAAGCCUGCGGUUC
Molecule: ribosomal RNA, 875 nt
Filed under: uncultured archaeon
Lineage: Archaea
Description: bacterial SSU rRNA
Rfam family: Archaeal small subunit ribosomal RNA
Source: RNAcentral